RNAcentral lists this ribosomal RNA (329 nucleotides) under uncultured archaeon. RNAcentral describes it as "bacterial SSU rRNA". It matches the Rfam family "Archaeal small subunit ribosomal RNA", at positions 552 to 880 of the family's 1478-position model. The record is from RNAcentral.
CGCGGGCUUAACCUGCGGGCGUUCAGGGGAAACUGUAUUUCUAGGGACCGGGAGAGGUGAGAGGUACUGCCGGGGUAGGAGUGAAAUCCUGUAAUCCCGGUGGGACCACCUAUGGCGAAGGCAUCUCACCAGAACGGGUCCGACAGUGAGGGACGAAAGCUGGGGGAGCAAACCGGAUUAGAUACCCGGGUAGUCCCAGCUGUAAACGAUGCGCGUUAGGUGUGUCAGUGACCACGUGUCACUGAGGUGCCGAAGGGAAACCGUGAAACGCGCCGCCUGGGGAGUACGGUCGCAAGGCUGAAACUUAAAGGAAUUGGCGGGGGAGCACA